UUUCUUUCUCCUUUUAUUUCAGUAAUUUAGAAUGGAGUUUUCAUAGGCAGAAACCAAUUUUCUGAAAGUCUUAAUUGAUGCUGGAGUCACAUAGAUCACUUAGAUGGCCUUCUGCAGGCCUCAGCUAUAUGGCGCCCUCCAUGCUGGGCUUUAAGGGGAUGAGACAAGGUUUACAGCCUAUUUGCUUCCCAAUUCUUUUCUUUUUUUUUCCUUUUUUUUUUCUUUUUUCUUUUUUUUUCAGAAAACAGGAUCCCCAAAGCACCCAACCCCCUGGAAGGCAGACAGUUUCAGAGUUUACAGGCUCAUAUCCCAGUGAAAGAAAGAUAAAGGGGAAGUGGGAAGUGGCUGACCUGACAGAGAAGUUAAUAAGGGACCCUGAGCACCAGGCUUGGAUGUGGCAAAUUUCUGACCUCCAAGAAAAAACAAGACAUUCCACUGAAUAAAAAGAGUAACAGUGACUUUCCAGAAUGAGAAAAAUCAAGAAUGGAUUGCUCAUUAGUUAUAUGCUCCCAAACACUGGUGCACUCUACCUGCAGUAAAAAG
This 543-nucleotide long non-coding RNA is filed under the name Anser brachyrhynchus (Pink-footed goose). RNAcentral describes it as "lncRNA (ENSABRG00000006572.1)". The record is from RNAcentral. Lineage: Eukaryota; Metazoa; Chordata; Aves; Anseriformes; Anatidae.